This 529-nucleotide long non-coding RNA is filed under the name Brassica napus (rape). RNAcentral describes it as "long non-coding RNA (BNAP_LNC015003)". The record is from RNAcentral. Lineage: Eukaryota; Viridiplantae; Streptophyta; Magnoliopsida; Brassicales; Brassicaceae.
GUUGUCAACAUACUAACCGUUGAGAGACGAGAUCUAGCUUGUUAACCAGUGAAACAUGCGACAGCUGAUCACUGAGUUAAGUGGUUGAGCUCUAACAUAUCAUGCAUGCAACAAUUAGGCAUCUAUAGGUAUUAUAAUCUCCAACACCUGAAUAGUGGCCCUGUAUCUAAACAUUUACAACUCUUAGAAUCAAUAAACACUUGAUUUAAUUGUUCCCUAGCUCCUUGUGGAUUAUAUCCCUAAGUACUACAUCUGAACCUCUUUUGAUGAGAGUAACACUCCUUAGGGUAAUUUGAGUGGUAUCAAUCGCCCACAGGCAAAACGAGAGCCGAUCAGUCGUCGCACAUCCUUAGAGCCGAAAGUAAACCUAGGUCUUGCCUUAAACCCAGUCCUACUGGUUCACUAACAUCUCAAGACAUGAUACGAGAUCUUAAAAACAUGUCCUAUCGUCUAUAUCUAAUACGCUCAUGAAACUUCGCAAAACUCCUAAACGUUUCCGAACGCCCUCGUUCAGUAAGAGCAAACGAAC